This 361-nucleotide ribosomal RNA is filed under the name uncultured bacterium. Its description in RNAcentral is "partial 16S ribosomal RNA". It matches the Rfam family "Bacterial small subunit ribosomal RNA", at positions 338 to 696 of the family's 1533-position model. The record is from RNAcentral.
CCUACGGGUGGCAGCAGUGAGGAAUAUUGGUCAAUGGACGAGAGCCUGAACCAGCCAAGCAGCGUGAAGGAUGACGGCCCUAUGGGUUGUAAACCUCUUUUAUAUGGGAAAAAAUCGUACCACGUGUCGGAUUUUGUAUGUACCAUAUGAAUACAGAUCGGCUAACUCCGUGCCAGCAGCCGCGGUACUACGGAGGAUCCGAGCGUUAUCCGGAUUUGUUUGGUUUACAGGGGGCGUAGGGGGGUUGUUAAGUCAGUGGGGAAAGUUUGGGGCUCAACCCUGACAUUGCAGUUGAUACUGGCAGUCUAGAGUACGAUAGAGGUAGGCGGAAUUCGUGGUGUAGCGGUGAAAUGCGUAGAUA